This is a non-coding RNA of Paramuricea clavata, 467 nucleotides long. Lineage: Eukaryota; Metazoa; Cnidaria; Anthozoa; Malacalcyonacea; Plexauridae. The record is from the annotation of a GenBank genome assembly.
CUCGAGGACGUAUACUCAGUGACUGGAUUAGAGGAGACUCACUAAAUGUUGAGUUGCAGUUAUUGAGACCAGAAGUGGCCCUACAGUGGGGUGCGUUCGCCCAUUUUUCCUUUGUCCUUUUCUUCUCGCUUUUUUGUUCUUCUCCCUUUUUUCUCGCUUUGUUGUUUUUCGCCCUUUUUUUCUCGCCUUUUUUUGUCUUCGCCUUUUUGUUUUUCGCCCUUUUCUCUUCGCUCAUUUUUUUCUAACCCGCCAUUUAUUAAAACAAUCCUCAAAACCUUCAAUGAAAUAAAGCGACUGCUACGCAGGCUAUGCCAGUGGACACACCCUUGAUCUUGUAAUUUCCAGUGUGAUGAUAGCAUUGUUAAAGACAUUACAUUUAGGUACCCUGUUAUAUCUCAUCAUGUGCAGUGUUCUUCAAGUUGUUUUCGCAGAAAACAUCAACCUGUGAAUAAAAUUAUUAACUCCCG